Molecule: long non-coding RNA, 597 nt
Organism: Triticum dicoccoides
Lineage: Eukaryota; Viridiplantae; Streptophyta; Magnoliopsida; Poales; Poaceae
Exons: 3
Source: RefSeq, a predicted model, not a curated record
UAUGUAGAGGUCUCAAGAAAGAGAAAAGAACUCGUGGUUCAAGCAGCAAGAAGAUAGCCAGCCUAAAUGAAUCAAAACAAGAACAAGCGUCGGGAAUUUACAAAUGAGGAAGUGCAGCUGGUGAUGUAAUUACUUUCAAUAGCGCUUCAACUCUGCAAUCGACAGUUUGACCUCAUGCUAGGGCAGCCUCAGCCAGUUGCCUCUUCUAUCAAAGGGUCCCUCAGCUACUUAUGCUUUGCUAGACAAUGAGGGUAUGUAGAUAGCAUGUAUGGUUUUUACAUUGUUUUGUGCAGGUUGAGAUGCAUCACAUGAUGUUUUCCUUUUACAUUUAUGGGUAUUACAGAACCCUUUCUUUUUCCACAAGGGGUAGUAGCUGUGCCAUUCGAUUCGGAGGACAAAGAGUUGAUCACAAAGGGGUAGCAUUCAGGAUAUAUACACAAAAGAGUAUAGAACCAAAUUACAUGAUGUAAUUGACCACUAUUUCUAUUAACUUCUCCUGUAGACAAUGUUCACAAGUUCAUGUAUUAAGUACAUUUUAUUGUGUCACUUGUGUUUACUCCUUUUUAAUGCAAGUUUACUGCUACUCGGAGUUCCUAA